AGUGAACGCUGGCGGUAGGCCUAACACAUGCAAGUCGAACGGCAGCACAGUAAGAGCUUGCUCUUACGGGUGGCGAGUGGCGGACGGGUGAGGAAUACAUCGGAAUCUACUUUUUCGUGGGGGAUAACGUAGGGAAACUUACGAUAAUACCGCAUACGACCUACGGGUGAAAGCAGGGGAUCUUCGGACCUUGCGCGAUUGAAUGGGCCGAUGUCGGAUUAGCUAGUUGGCGGGGUAAAGGCCCACCAAGGCGACGAUCCGUAGCUGGUCUGAGAGGAUGAUCAGCCACACUGGAACUGAGACACGGUCCAGACUCCUACGGGAGGCAGCAGUGGGGAAUAUUGGACAAUGGGCGCAAGCCUGAUCCAGCCAUACCGCGUGGGUGAAGAAGGCCUUCGGGUUGUAAAGCCCUUUUGUUGGGAAAGAAAAGCAGCAGGUUAAUACCCCGCUGUUCUGACGGUACCCAAAGAAUAAGCACCGGCUAACUUCGUG
This 492-nucleotide ribosomal RNA is filed under the name uncultured bacterium. RNAcentral describes it as "partial 16S ribosomal RNA". It matches the Rfam family "Bacterial small subunit ribosomal RNA", at positions 29 to 507 of the family's 1533-position model. The record is from RNAcentral.